UCCUCAGGGAGCGGCUCCUGCAGCGGUCCUGUGCCCCUCUCCCCAGUCUGAUGGAGGCCCGGGCUGUAGCUGCUGCCAAGCUGCUUGGAAGUCACCCAGGUGGGGAUGCUGGCAAGGCCCUUGGGACAGUAGAAAGGCCGCUCUGGAGGCCUCCAGUGCGGAUUGUGCAGCAAGAUCCCCCGUGGCAGCUCCAGAGGAGCGUCAGCACAGAUCUCCGCAGAGACCAACUGCCGAUCUCAUCCCCAG
Long non-coding RNA from Sarcophilus harrisii (Tasmanian devil), 246 nucleotides. RefSeq lists it as uncharacterized. The transcript is spliced from 2 exons. The record is from RefSeq and is a predicted model, not a curated record. NCBI's taxonomy places the organism in Eukaryota, Metazoa, Chordata, Mammalia, Dasyuromorphia, Dasyuridae.